GAUGAACGCUGGCGGCGUGCUUAACACAUGCAAGUCGAACGGAAAGGCUCCUGCUUGCAGGGGUACUCGAGUGGCGAACGGGUGAGUAACACGUGGGUGAUCUGCCCUGCACUUCGGGAUAAGCCUGGGAAACUGGGUCUAAUACCGGAUAGGACGAUGGUUUGGAUGCCAUUGUGGAAAGUUUUUCGGUGUGGGAUGAGCUCGCGGCCUAUCAGCUUGUCGGUGGGGUAAUGGCCUACCAAGGCGUCGACGGGUAGCCGGCCUGAGAGGGUGUACGGCCACAUUGGGACUGAGAUACGGCCCAGACUCCUACGGGAGGCAGCAGUGGGGAAUAUUGCACAAUGGGCGCAAGCCUGAUGCAGCGACGCCGCGUGGGGGAUGACGGCCUUCGGGUUGUAAACUCCUUUCGCUAGGGACGAAGCGCAAGUGACGGUACCUGGAGAAGAAGCACCGGCUAACUACGUG
RNAcentral lists this ribosomal RNA (465 nucleotides) under uncultured bacterium. Its description in RNAcentral is "partial 16S ribosomal RNA". It matches the Rfam family "Bacterial small subunit ribosomal RNA", at positions 28 to 507 of the family's 1533-position model. The record is from RNAcentral.